UACAGAGGGGGCAAGCGUUGUUCGGAAUUACUGGGCGUAAAGGGCGCGUAGGCGGCCUGUUAAGUCGAACGUGAAAUCCCCGGGCUCAACCCGGGAACUGCGUCCGAGACUGGCAGGCUCGAAUCCGGGAGAGGGAUGUGGAAUUCCAGGUGUAGCGGUGAAAUGCGUAGAUAUCUGGAGGAACAUCGGUGGCGAAGGCGGCAUCCUGGACCAACACUGACACUGAGGAGCGAAAGCCAGGGGAGCAAACGGG
RNAcentral lists this ribosomal RNA (253 nucleotides) under uncultured bacterium. RNAcentral describes it as "partial 16S ribosomal RNA". It matches the Rfam family "Bacterial small subunit ribosomal RNA", at positions 524 to 776 of the family's 1533-position model. The record is from RNAcentral.